GAGUUUGAUCCUGGCUCAGGACGAACGCUGGCGGCGUGCCUAAUACAUGCAAGUCGAGCGGAUCUUCAUUAGCUUGCUUUUGAAGAUCAGCGGCGGACGGGUGAGUAACACGUGGGCAACCUGCCUGUAAGACUGGGAUAACUUCGGGAAGCCGGAGCUAAUACCGGAUGAUCCUUUUCCUCUCAUGAGGAAAAGCUGAAAGACGGUUUCGGCUGUCACUUACAGAUGGGCCCGCGGCGCAUUAGCUAGUUGGUGAGGUAACGGCUCACCAAGGCGACGAUGCGUAGCCGACUGAGAGGGUGAUCGGCCACACUGGGACUGAGACACGGCCCAGACUCCUACGGGAGGCAGCAGUAGGGAAUCUUCCGCAAUGGACGAAAGUCUGACGGAGCAACGCCGCGUGAGCGAUGAAGGCC
Molecule: ribosomal RNA, 416 nt
Filed under: uncultured microorganism
Description: bacterial SSU rRNA
Rfam family: Bacterial small subunit ribosomal RNA
Source: RNAcentral